GGCGGCCACCGCUAUUGGAAUUCGAUUAAGACAUGCGAGUCGAGAGUCUUUGGGACUCGGCGGACGGCUCAGUAACACGCGGAUAAUCUGCCCUUAGGUGGAGAAUAACCUCGGGAAACUGAGAAUAAUGCUCCAUAUGUCUAGAAUGCUGGAAUGCUUUUAGGCUUAAAGCUCCGGCGCCUAAGGAUGAAUCUGCGGCCUAUCAGGUUGUAGUGGGUGUAACGGACCCACUAGCCUACGACGGGUACGGGCUUUGGGAAAAGUUGCCCGGAGAUGGACUCUGAGACACGAGUCCAGGCCCUACGGGGUGCAGCAGUUGCGAAAACUUCACAAUGUCGGAAACGGCGAUGAGGGAAUUCCAAGUGCCAACACUUUGUGUUGGCUGUUUGUUUGCCUAAAAAGCAGAUAAAGUAAGAGCCGGGUAAGACGGGUGCCGGCCGCCGCGGUAAUACCCGCGGCUCGAGUGGUGGUCAUUUUUAUUGAGCUUAAAGCAUUCGUAGCCUGUCCAGUAAAUCCUUGGGUAAAUCGAGCAGCUUAACUGUUCGAAUUCCGAGGGGACUGCUGGACUUGGGACCGGAAGAGGUCAAAAGUACUCUUGGGGUAGGGGUAAAAUCCUGUAAUCCCACGAGGACUACCAGUGGCGAAGGCGUUUGACUAGGACGGAUUCGACGGUAAGGAACGAAACCCCGGGUCGCAAACGGGAUUAGAUACCCCGGUAGUCCGGGGCGUAAACGCUGCNGCUUGGUGUUGGGGGCUCUACNAGAGCGCCCAGUGCCGAAGANAAUUGUUAAGCCUGCCGCUUGGGGAGUACGGUCGCAGACCGAAACUUAA
RNAcentral lists this ribosomal RNA (831 nucleotides) under uncultured archaeon. RNAcentral describes it as "bacterial SSU rRNA". It matches the Rfam family "Archaeal small subunit ribosomal RNA", at positions 19 to 859 of the family's 1478-position model. The record is from RNAcentral.